UGAGAGAUGCUGUGGUAGAUAGUUUAAUCUCAUUCUUCUUCUCUAUAUUUGGCAGCCCUUUGGGCACACAGCAGCUUCCUCGGCCGCGGGUAUUGGCGUGUGGGCUGGUAUGCCUGGAAGAGGGCACUGCCUGUGUCUGUGACUGCCUCUGCUUCCGAACUGGGGUGCAUUGCAUGCGCAGAAGAUUCCAAGGGGAAAACGAAAUACUGAAUGAUGAGUCCUGCUAUGCACACAGCAAGGAUGUUUCCCAUAACAGUCCCCACCUCCCCCAGGUGUCCUACGAGAUGGAGGUGGUGAUCUAUGUGGAGAGGCUCACACAGGCAAGAGGAACAGGAGGGGGGAGGAAGAAGGGAAAGAACUAGAAAUCUCCUAACCUGUGAU
Molecule: long non-coding RNA, 381 nt
Organism: Malaclemys terrapin pileata
Lineage: Eukaryota; Metazoa; Chordata; Testudines; Emydidae
Exons: 3
Source: RefSeq, a predicted model, not a curated record